GGGGGUGUAGCUCAGUUGGCUAGAGCACCUGCCUUGCACGCAGGGGGUCAUCGGUUCGAAUCCGUUCACCUCCACCA
This 77-nucleotide transfer RNA is filed under the name Pseudomonadales bacterium. RNAcentral's name for it is "tRNA-Ala". It matches the Rfam family "tRNA". From Rfam's summary of the family: Transfer RNA (tRNA) molecules are approximately 80 nucleotides in length. Lineage: Bacteria; Pseudomonadati; Pseudomonadota; Gammaproteobacteria; Pseudomonadales. The record is from RNAcentral. RNAcentral also lists the same sequence under 2 other names.